GUAAAAAGAUUACAAAAGGACAGCAAAUAUCCUGUAUCUUCUAACUUGUUUAUAUGAACAACCAAAACAAUGGAGCUUAAACUUAAUUUGAGCUAAAAAUCUCCCUUUUGUUUUUGUUUACCAAUUCAAUGGCGGAAAAUUAUAGCCUUCGUUUCCAUAAACAGACAACCAAUUUUAGCGAGAACGAAGUCGAACAGGAGAACCCCACAUACUCCUUUUCUCCUUAUAAUCCCACCUUCUUUAUUCCCUCAUUUGACUCGAGCACCGAAUCCGUUGAUUCGGAGUCCGAUCGCUCCGACUUGAUCGGAAACCCUAGUUCCUUUUUCUACUGCAAUGAAGACCAAAUGGACCUUGUAACCGAUUUGUUGGACUCCCGAAAUGACGAAGUAACGGAUCAUCCCCAUGUUGUUCACAACAAUUCUAAUUCUAGGGUUUUGCCAGACGAUGAAGAAGUAGAGCUUGGGUUUGAAUUUGAUGGACUUCGGGUCGUUGGGGUAGACUCCGAGUCCGAUUCAGAAGACGAGGAGGUUAUUCACCAAAUUGGCAAUUCGAGUGUGCCGGAUUUGUGGAACUGUUUUCGGGUUGGUGAUGAGGGGGAUUUGGAUGAAGAUUCAGAGUGGGAAGAAGUUGAGAGGGUUGAAGGGAGGGAGGACAAUAUUAGUUAUCUGAUUGGACGAAUGGAAGAAAUUUCUGUUUCUUCUGAUUUCUCUUCUGAAGAAGGAAAUUUGGGUUUGGGUGAAGAUGGAGAAGAGGGGCAAUCGAGGAAUUUAGAAUGGGAAUUUCUGGUGGCGGUUAAUGAUCUCGAAAGGAGCCUUGAAUUUCACAAUGCUGUUAUACUUCAAGAUGGCGGUGGGUUUGGUGCUGUUGAUUUUGUUGGAAGCCAAGAGAGGUUAAAGGGUAGUCCACCAGCAGCUAAAUCUGUGCUGGAAAAUCUUCCUUUGGUGGUCGUGAGUGAUGAACAUUUGAAAGGAAGCAAUGCAGCUUGUGCAGUUUGCAAAGAUGAGAUUUUGUCAACGGAGAAAGUUACUAGGUUGCCCUGUUCUCACUAUUACCAUUGUGAUUGUAUUAUGCCAUGGCUAAAUAUCCGUAAUACAUGUCCUGUUUGUCGCCACGAGUUGCCCACGGAUAAUGCUGAUUAUGAGAGGGAAAAUGGAAGGAGUGCUGGUUCAGGACAUGUUAAUGAUUUUCAGGUUAGAUACAAUUUUGAAUCUGUACUCUGACAUUGCAAAUUCUGUUCUGUUGACAGAUUUCGUGGACAUAUUACUAAUCUCAUUUUAGCUGAGCAUGUUGAAAAUCUAUUCAUAUCAUUUUCUUUUUUUUCUUCCUUUAACUUUUUGUGUUGGUACUGUAUAUGUAAAGUUGCCAAUUUUAUUCUGAUAGUAUCACAUAGACAGCUAGUUGGAUUACCACCGAAAAAUGAUGAAAACUCUAAAUCUCUGUAUAUUCAAAGGUUAGUAGUUUAGUAAUCCCUCCAUUUAAAAAAGAGCGUCCCUAUUUCCUUUUUAGUUUGUUUAGAAAAGAAUGUACCCUUUCCUUUUUUGGCAACACUUUAACUUUCUAGGUGGUAUGUUUAAGACCACAAUAUUAAAGUACAUUUUGGUACAUUUGACAUAACUUAAUUUAGAACCACAAAAUUAAAAAAAUUCUUUCUUUUCUUAAACUCCGUUCCAAGUCAAACUAGGUCAUUCUUUUUGAAACGAAGGGAGUACUAUUUUGGAAAUUUAGAGUUGGUUUUGUUUUUCAAUGAGAUGGUGAAAGUGUACACCAUAGAAUUAUUAGAUCUUUUUUUCUUGUCCAACUUGAAAUGGUUGCCGAAUCAUUAUCUUGGUAAUAUGCUGGGGAAGCUUUUCAGAAUCUUGACCUUAGUGUAUUCUAAUAUUUCUAAUAUAUCUAGUUGUACUAAAGAUCUUGCAUCAUAUAGUGAUGCUUACCUUUUUUUUUUUAUAAUAUUCACAUAAUUAUCAAAUCUCUGGAUUUGUAACUUGCAGCAUGUUGUCUUCACAUGUGUUUAUCAUAUAUAUUUACUUUCUUAUCAGAACUUCUAGAGCCUUUUGAUUUCUGCUUUCUUUUGACAAGUAAAAGAAUUUCGUUACAUUGGCUACAUUAGCACCAAGUACCUCUUCAAAGUGGAUACAAAAUACAACAGCUCCCUAUACUUCCUCUGGAAUCAUGGUCCAACCCUUUUGGUGCUGCUUGCCAGUAAUCCUUCCUUACCAGCUGAAAUAAGUUCCCUUUAGAGGCAUGGACAUCAUCAACUUUGUGUGUAUAAAGGAGCAUAUUCAAUAACUGUGUCAAGAGACACACAACUAAAUAAAUGAUUAGCGUCUUCAACUCUCUGGCACACAUUAGCAGCUGUUAAACAUAAGCGUACCUUUUAUCUGGGGAUAACAUCAGGUCAAACAAAUGUCAUGAAUAGCAGUCCAGCUGAAGCGAACCACCUUAAGAGAUACUUUGUUUAUUCAGAUCUUCCCCAGACCAGUUUAUGCUGUACUCUUAGCUAUUUUUAAUGCAUUGUAGGCUGUAGAAUUGCUUGAUAAAGAAAGAUCCACAUUUACUUACCCCCAUCUCAAGGAGUGACACUCAUUUGUUGUCUCUUAUACCACUUAUACAAUAUCAAAUUAUCAAUAACUAAGAUGAUAGGGUAUCAAAUUUCCAAUUAUAACA
Solanum pennellii is the source of this 2664-nucleotide RNA transcript. It is a transcript of the gene named E3 ubiquitin ligase BIG BROTHER-related-like, with no coding region annotated. The record is from RefSeq and is a predicted model, not a curated record. NCBI's taxonomy places the organism in Eukaryota, Viridiplantae, Streptophyta, Magnoliopsida, Solanales, Solanaceae. The transcript is spliced from 2 exons.